Molecule: ribosomal RNA, 446 nt
Filed under: uncultured bacterium
Lineage: Bacteria
Description: partial 16S ribosomal RNA
Rfam family: Bacterial small subunit ribosomal RNA
Source: RNAcentral
GUAAGGAAUAUUGGUCAAUGGGGGCAACCCUGAACCAGCCAUGCCGCGUGAAGGAUGAAGGCGUUAUGCGUUGUAAACUUCUUUUGUAUGGGAAGAAUGACAGGGAUUUAUCCUUGGAGAGACGGUACCAUACGAAUAAGCACCGGCUAACUCCGUGCCAGCAGCCGCGGUAAUACGGAGGGUGCAAGCGUUAUCCGGAAUCACUGGGUUUAAAGGGUACGUAGGCGGUUAAUUAAGUCAGUAGUGAAAGACUGUCGCUCAACGACGGAUGUGCUAUUGAUACUGGUUAACUUGAAUCAGGUUAGAGUUGGCGGAAUGGGUCAUGUAGCGGUGAAAUGCUUAGAUAUCAUCCAGAACACCGAUUGCGAAGGCAGGUGGCUACGAUUUAUUUGACACUGAUGCACGAAAGCAUGGGGAGCAAACAGGAUUAGAAACCCUAGUAGUCC